GAGUUUGAUCCUGGCUCAGAGCGAACGCUGGCGGCGCGCUUAACACAUGCAAGUUGAACGGUUUAAUGUUUUUGAUGAGCUGAUUAAGUAGCAAUACUUAAGAUUCCUUUGAAGAAAUAUUAAAUAGUGCCAAACGGGUGAGUAACACGCAGAUAAUCUACCUUUAAGAGGAGGACAACCUGGUGAAAACGAGGCUAAUACUCCGUAUUAUUAUUAUUUCCGUGAAUUAAUAAUGAAAGGUUUAUUUUCGGAUAAAUGCUUAAAGAUGAGUCUACGUCCCUAUCAGCUAGUUGGUAAGGUAAUGGCUUACCAAGGCAACGACGGGUAGNCGGCCUGAAAGGGUGAUNCGGCCACAUUGGAACUGCGACACGGUCCAAACUCCUACGGGAGGCAGCAGUGGGGAAUUUUCCGCAAUGGGCGAAAGCCUGACGGAGCGACGCCGCGUGGAGGAUGAAGUCUUUCGAGUUGUAAACUCCUGUCAGGUGGGAUGAAUUUCUUGCUUGUCAGAAAUGACAGUACCACCAGAGGAAGUCUCGGCUAACUACCUGCCAGCAGCCGCGGUAAUACGUAGGAGACAGCGUUGCUCGGAAUUACUAGGCAUAAAGAGCGUGUAGGUUGUUGUAUAAGUCAAAUGUGAAAGCUCAUAACUCAAUUGUGAGACUGCACUUGAAACUAUAUGACUUGAGUGGAGGAGAGGGAAGUGGAAUUUCCAAAGUAGCGGUGAAAUGCUUAGAUAUUGGAAAGAACACCAGCGGCGAAGGCGACUUCCUGGCCUCAAACUGACACUGAGACGCGAAAGCUAGGGGAGCAAACAGGAUUAGAUACCCUGGUAGUCCUAGCUGUAAACGAUGGGUACUAGGUAUAGUGGGUGUUAAAUCCCUCUGUGCCGAAGCUAAUGCAUUAAGUACCCCGCCUGGGGAGUACGACCGCAAGGUUGAAACUCAAAGGAAUUGACGGGGGCCCGCACAAGCGGUGGAGCAUGUGGUUUAAUUCGACGCAACGCGAAGAACCCUUACCUGGGUUUGACAUGUACUUGAAUACUAUAGAAACAUAGUCGGCCGCAAGGACAAGUACACAGGUGCUGCAUGGCUGUCGUCAGCUCGUGUCGUGAGAUGUUGGGUUAAGUCCCGCAACGAGCGCAACCCUUAUCCUUAGUUACCAUCCUUGAUUUAUCAAGAGGGACUCUAAGGAAACUGCUCCGGAUAACGGGAGAGGAAGGUGGGGAUGACGUCAAGUCCUCAUGGGCCCUUAUAUCCAGGGCGACACACGUGCUACAAUGGUCGGGUACAAAGGGNCUGCAAUACGGUAACGUGGAGCUAAUCCCAAAAAGCCCGGCCCCAGUUCAGAUUGAGGGNCUGUAACUCGCCCUCAUGAAGGAGGAAUCGCUAGUAAUCGCGCAUCAGCCACGGCGCGNUGAAUACGUUCCCGGGCCUUGUACACACCGCCCGUCACACCACCAAAGUUGGCUGUAACAGAAGUCGUUAUGCUAACCCUUUUUAAGGGAGGCAGACGCCCAAGUUAUGGUUAGUAAUUGGGGUGAAGUCGUAACAAGGUA
Molecule: ribosomal RNA, 1555 nt
Filed under: uncultured bacterium
Lineage: Bacteria
Description: bacterial SSU rRNA
Rfam family: Bacterial small subunit ribosomal RNA
Source: RNAcentral